UCCUACGGGAGGCAGCAGUGGGGAAUAUUGCACAAUGGGCGCAAGCCUGAUGCAGCCAUGCCGCGUGUGUGAAGAAGGCCUUCGGGUUGUAAAGCACUUUCAGCAGUGAGGAAGGAGGUGUUGUUAAUAGCGGUAUCUUUUGACGUUAGCUGCAGAAGAAGCACCGGCUAACUCCGUGCCAGCAGCCGCGGUAAUACGGAGGGUGCGAGCGUUAAUCGGAAUUACUGGGCGUAAAGCGCAUGCAGGUGGUUUGUUAAGUCAGCUGUGAAAGCCCCGGGCUCAACCUGGGAAUUGCAUUUGAAACUGGCAGACUAGAGUACUGUAGAGGGGGGUAGAAUUUCAGGUGUAGCGGUGAAAUGCGUAGAGAUCUGAAGGAAUACCGGUGGCGAAGGCGGCCCCCUGGACAGAUACUGACACUCAGAUGCGAAAGCGUGGGGAGCAAACAGGAUUAGAUACCCUGGUAGUCCACGCCGUAAACGAUGUCUACUUGGAGGUUGUGGCCUUGAGCCGUGGCUUUCGGAGCUAACGCGUUAAGUAGACCGCCUGGGGAGUACGGUCGCAAGAUUAAAACUCAAAUGAAUUGACGGGGGCCCGCACAAGCGGUGGAGCAUGUGGUUUAAUUCGAUGCAACGCGAAGAACCUUACCUACUC
RNAcentral lists this ribosomal RNA (651 nucleotides) under Vibrio fluvialis. Its description in RNAcentral is "bacterial SSU rRNA". It matches the Rfam family "Bacterial small subunit ribosomal RNA", at positions 337 to 980 of the family's 1533-position model. Lineage: Bacteria; Pseudomonadati; Pseudomonadota; Gammaproteobacteria; Vibrionales; Vibrionaceae. The record is from RNAcentral.